GACGAACGCUGGCGGCGUGCUUAACACAUGCAAGUCGAACGAAGAUAUGUUGAAAGCUUGCUGAUGCAUAUUUAGUGGCGGACGGGUGAGUAACGCGUGAGGACUUGUCUAGUACAGGGGGACAACAGUUGGAAACGGCUGCUAAUGCCCCAUAAGCCUAAGGGUAAAAGGAGCAAUCCGGUACAUGAGAGACUCGCGUCCUAUCAGCUAGUAGGUGGGUAACGGCCCACCUAGGCGAAGACGGGUAGCCGGCCUGAGAGGGCGAACGGCCACACUGGAACUGAGACACGGUCCAGACUCCUACGGGAGGCAGCAGUGGGGAAUAUUGGGCAAUGGAGGGAACUCUGACCCAGCGACGCCGCGUGAGUGAAGAAAUCCCUCGGGAUGUAAAGCUCUGCUGUGUGGGAAGAUAAUGACGGUACCACACGAGGAAGCCCGGCAAACUACGUAGCCAGCAGCCGCGGUAAU
Molecule: ribosomal RNA, 468 nt
Filed under: uncultured bacterium
Lineage: Bacteria
Description: bacterial SSU rRNA
Rfam family: Bacterial small subunit ribosomal RNA
Source: RNAcentral